GGGACUUGAGCAAGAGGAGCGGGAGGCGGCGUUCCUUCGGCGGAAGAGACGAAUGGAGGGAGCUGCUGCUUUUACGGUUGUUACUGGGAAUUGGCUCACACAAUUAUGGAGACCCAAGAAGUCCCAGCAUCAAUGGUCAACAGCAACCUGGAGACCCAGGAGAGCCAAUGUAGUAGGUCAGUCUGAGCCCAAUAUAAAGGCAAGAGAAGACCAACGUCCUAGCUCACAGGCAGUCAGGCAAGAAGAAUUCCUUUCUCCUCAGGAGAGAGUCAGCCUUUUUGUUCUGUUCAGGCCUUGGUUGAGGCCUGUCCACAUUAGAGAAGGUAAUCCCGAGGGUAGACCAUCUUAAAUGAGGCAGCAGAGCAGUGUGCUCAUGUCCUGACCUAGGACCCAGAAUGGGUCCUGCUCCCUCGUUUACCAGAUUGAAAUCCUGAAAGUUACUGAACUUGUACGCAUCUCUGUUUACUCAUUACAAAAGGACGGGUGACAAGAAUACCCAUCUCCUGGGGAUUGGGGUGGGAACUGCUUGAAUUAGAACUUAAAAUAAUUGGGUUUUCAGUAUUUCAUAUAGCUAUAAUUAUUAAAUUAACAUGAAACCA
Long non-coding RNA from Mustela lutreola (European mink), 599 nucleotides. RefSeq lists it as uncharacterized. The record is from RefSeq and is a predicted model, not a curated record. The transcript has 2 exons. Lineage: Eukaryota; Metazoa; Chordata; Mammalia; Carnivora; Mustelidae.